UGCAAGUCGAACGAUGAAGCCCAGCUUGCUGGGUGGAUUAGUGGCGAACGGGUGAGUAACACGUGAGUAACCUGCCCUUAACUCUGGGAUAAGCCUGGGAAACUGGGUCUAAUACCGGAUAGGAGCGUCCACCGCAUGGUGGGUGUUGGAAAGAUUUAUCGGUUUUGGAUGGACUCGCGGCCUAUCAGCUUGUUGGUGAGGUAAUGGCUCACCAAGGCGACGACGGGUAGCCGGCCUGAGAGGGUGACCGGCCACACUGGGACUGAGACACGGCCCAGACUCCUACGGGAGGCAGCAGUGGGGAAUAUUGCACAAUGGGCGCAAGCCUGAUGCAGCGACGCCGCGUGAGGGAUGACGGCCUUCGGGUUGUAAACCUCUUUCAGUAGGGAAGAAGCGAAAGUGACGGUACCUGCAGAAGAAGCACCGGCUAACUACGUGCCAGCAGCCGCGGUAAUACGUAGGGUGCGAGCGUUAUCCGGAAUUAUUGGGCGUAAAGAGCUCGUAGGCGGUUUGUCGCGUCUGUCGUGAAAGUCCGGGGCUUAACCCCGGAUCUGCGGUGGGUACGGGCAGACUAGAGUGCAGUAGGGGAGACUGGAAUUCCUGGUGUAGCGGUGGAAUGCGCAGAUAUCAGGAGGAACACCGAUGGCGAAGGCAGGUCUCUGGGCUGUAACUGACGCUGAGGAGCGAAAGCAUGGGGAGCGAACAGGAUUAGAUACCCUGGUAGUCCAUGCCGUAAACGUUGGGCACUAGGUGUGGGGACCAUUCCACGGUUUCCGCGCCGCAGCUAACGCAUUAAGUGCCCCGCCUGGGGAGUACGGCCGCAAGGCUAAAACUCAAAGGAAUUGACGGGGGCCCGCACAAGCGGCGGAGCAUGCGGAUUAAUUCGAUGCAACGCGAAGAACCUUACCAAGGCUUGACAUGUUCUCGAUCGCCGUAGAGAUACGGUUUCCCCUUUGGGGCGGGUUCACAGGUGGUGCAUGGUUGUCGUCAGCUCGUGUCGUGAGAUGUUGGGUUAAGUCCCGCAACGAGCGCAACCCUCGUUCCAUGUUGCCAGCACGUAAUGGUGGGGACUCAUGGGAGACUGCCGGGGUCAACUCGGAGGAAGGUGAGGACAACGUCAAAUCAUCAUGCCCCUU
The sequence is a ribosomal RNA, 1136 nucleotides long. It matches the Rfam family "Bacterial small subunit ribosomal RNA", at positions 56 to 1203 of the family's 1533-position model.